RNAcentral lists this ribosomal RNA (443 nucleotides) under uncultured bacterium. Its description in RNAcentral is "partial 16S ribosomal RNA". It matches the Rfam family "Bacterial small subunit ribosomal RNA", at positions 338 to 795 of the family's 1533-position model. The record is from RNAcentral.
CCUACGGGUGACAGCAGUGGGGAAUAUUGGGCAAUGGGCGCAAGCCUGACCCAGCAACGCCGCGUGAAGGAAGAAGGCUUUCGGGUUGUAAACUUCUUUUCGCAGGGACGAAGCAAGUGACGGUACCUGAGGAAUAAGCCACGGCUAACUACGCACCAGCCGCCGCGGUACUACGUAGGGGGCCAGCGUUCUCCGGAUUUACUGGGUGUAAAGGGCGUGUAGGCGGGGCAGCAAGUCAGAUGUGAAAGCCACGGGCUCAACCUGUGGCCUGCAUUUGAAACUGUGUGGCUUGAGUGCUGGAGAGGCAGAUGGAAUUCCUAGUGUAGCGGUGAAAGGCGUAGAUAUUAGGAGGAACACCAGUGGCGAAGGCGGUCUGCUGGACAGCAACUGACGUUGAGGCGCGAAAGCGUGGGGAGCAAACAGGAUUAGAUACCCCUGUAGUC